UCUGCUUGGUGACCUUGGGCGA
Molecule: microRNA, 22 nt
Filed under: Callithrix jacchus (white-tufted-ear marmoset)
Lineage: Eukaryota; Metazoa; Chordata; Mammalia; Primates; Cebidae
Description: cja-miR-2968
Source: miRBase by way of RNAcentral